Molecule: non-coding RNA, 4288 nt
Organism: Zootermopsis nevadensis
Lineage: Eukaryota; Metazoa; Arthropoda; Insecta; Blattodea; Termopsidae
Source: RefSeq, a predicted model, not a curated record
UCUUCCUGGUCUCAAGGAAUAAAAAUGCUAAGUUUAGUGUAAACUACUAAAAAAAUAAACCGGUAAUUUCAACUAUAUACACAAUAACUAUGCACACAAUAAUAUACGAAAUGAAUUACUAUUACAAUUUUUGGAAUCUACAUUUGACAUUCUAUGAUUUGCUACGUUAGUGCCGCGUAGUGGGAAUUCGGACAACUUGCAGGCGGUUGGCUGGGUGUGGUUUGUGUGUGUAUUCUCUGCAGUGGAUAUCAAACAGAGCAAUGCCCAGAAAAAGGCAAAAUGAAGGCAAGAGGUCACGGCACAGUGCGGUGGACAACCUCAGCUUCCGACUGCAGGGCACCCUGUGGAGGAAGCCUAGGAAGUUGGUAUAUUGCGUCACAUUGAUAAUAAUAGUUUGUAGUCACGUGAGUAAUGCCUUUUUUUUUUGCAUACAUCAAAUUGUCUUAUUUAAUCUGAACGGCUUUUCUAAUGAAUUGUUUGUGUCACCAAGUAUUAAAAUAUCUGCCAAGUGAUGGUUACUGCUUAUUUUCAACUUCAUGCCGUAAGCUAUAUGAUAAUAAUUAAGAACCAGUUCUGGUUAUUCGGUUACUUUGCUGAGCUCAAUUUCUUGGUUUUUCAAGUACUUGUGCACAGAUCUUAACCCCGGCCUUUCUCAGAAAUGGAACUGAUAAUUGCAUUUAUGGUUGUGUGCGAGUGCUUAUUGGCCGAUACUUAAGAAAAAGUCGACACACCUGACUUUGAUAUACUUACAUGUCCUUGGUAAAAUGGGCAGAGGAACCUGUUGGAUUAUUUUUUUGAAGAAUAAAUUGAUUAUUUUGCACAGAAGCUUCACAGUGUUGACCAACGAUUUUAACUUCUUUCAUGGUAUUUUUAUAAUUUAAGUUUCUGGGAAACACAUGUUUCAAAAAUGUUCAUACAUUUCUUGGCACUUUACCUACGUUAUCUGCUGAAUGGUUCAAUUAAGGGUUAAGAUCUGUCAGGCACUGAGUUUAUAAUUAAUAUAUUUCCUCCAUUUUAAUUAGUUAACCAGAAAAGUUUAAAUUGAAGAUUUCAUUGUUGAAUAAGUUUAUGGAACUUUGAAUGUUAUAUUUUAUCCCAGAUUUAAUCACUUUUUCUCAUUUUGUGUGAUUGUAAAAGAUUUCUUUGUAAGUGAAUUUUAGGGUGGCAAUGAUGAAGAUUAGUCUCAUCUUCAGUUGAUAACUUGCACUUGCAAUUUUGAAGCUAGGUCUUCUGUAUGUCCAUUGCAUUUUUAUAGGUGGGCCAAGCUCUUAGCAAUGGAAGAGCACUUCAUUAUGUUAGGUCCCAUGGGGACUGUCAGCCAGGAGGUGACAGUCUAGCUGCAAGUACGAGUCGGAUGUCACUCGGUAAGAACAGGUGGAAAAUGAUGGCGAGAGAGAAAGGAAUAGAGGAAAUUAUGUGCCUUGAAACUUUGUGAUGUGUUUUUUCUUUUAGUAAUAUUAAGAUCGCGUAGACACUGAUGUGGCAGUGGGUUAAUUGUUAUAGCCAAAUGAAAUAAAUAAAUUCGUACAGAACAUGUCAGGUCUUGGAAUUCUGUGAUGUAAUAUAUCUUUUUUUGGAAAAUUUGCAUCCAAGGAUUUUUUUUGUGUGUGUAAAAUUUGCUUUAGCUUUCAUAUUAGUAGCGGUAACUGAUGAACCACUAGAGCCCGGCAAGUACAAUUUUGUAUAGAGUUAGAUCAUGAACUUGCCUACAGACUAAAUUUUAAACAAAUUUCAUGUCAUCAGUUGUAGUGGUAGUGCAAAACGGGUACAUGUCUGACAAAUAUAAUGUAAUUUAAAUUUGUGUUUGUGGAAAUAAUGCACAGAAAGGGAUCAACGACAACAACAACAAUAAUAAGAUUAUUUAUUUACAGCUGGGAGUUUGCGUUACGUUUAUUUGUCGGCUGGCUUGAGGUGAUGCUUUCCAUCUUUAUAUUUGUGAUAUAUAUAUAAUAUAAUGCACUGUAACCUAAUAUUUCAUGGCUGUGUCCUUAAUCGUCUGCAGGGUUCAUUGAUAUCAUUCGGCUAAAAGAUUAACAAUGUAAAAUGAUCAGGUCACUUUACUCUAAGAUAUUUGUCAGACAUUGGAAUAAUAAACCACUCUUGACCAUUCUGCCAUUUAGUUUCAAUAGUAGUAUGCCGUAUCCAGUGACCAUAUUACGUCAGAAUGGUAUAUGUUUAACUACAGUUCAACCCAGAGGCCAGUUUCUCAACAUUUUAAUUAUGUGUUCAGUUAAUAAAUGGCACAUUUAUAGAUUGUAUGGCUUCAUGGUAAUAUUUAUUAAUCUAACUUGUGUAUAGUUGCAAAUAUGCUACAAAGUGAAGUUUGGGAUGGAAAAUUUGUCACUGACUGUAGACUAUGCAUUUUUAUCGUUUUCAUAGAACAGGGGUCCUCAACUGAUGGGGCAUGUGGAAGAAUAAUUUUUUUUCUUCAUGUUGUUACACUUUAAGUUGCAGGUGCUAGUGGCCCUGUGAGUGGAAGUUGGGCACCAGUGGGCCGUGGUGCCAUUCCGAAGCGUUGUGCUUGCACUGCCCAUGGGCCUCACCUCCAAGCAAGAAAAAUAUUGUACAUCAUCUCACAGAAGGCUCUGACCCACAAUUUAUGAAGUGGGUCGAUGAUGAUCAACAAACCAUCACUGUUAAUGCUGCUCAGAGGACCCAUUCUGACCUAUGUAAAGAAAAAGAGAAAUGCGAAAAAAUGUUCAAACAUGUAGAGGUAUAUCUACUAAUAACAUACUACCUCCAUUUUUGCUGAAGCAUGAAAACCAGAAAUUGCUUCAUAAAUUGGCACAAUAUGAAAAGCAGCUGGAAGAAGAGCCUCUGCUGGUAGAAGAGCCUGAGGACAGUUCAUAAACAUUGAAAGGAUCACCAGGAAAAGAUGCUCAUGGUGGUAAUUCAGUAACAUUAAUGACAGCUUGUGUGAGCCCAGCAAAGGGUAAGAAAAAUGAGACUCUCAGGACACUGCAGUAUGCAGAACAAGCCAAAAGAAUUAAAAAUAAACCAACCGUAAACCAAGAUCCUCGAGCUGCAAAAAUUGCUGCAUCGAAACAGUUAGCUCAAGGCGGAAGUAGACAAUGUCCUCCAGAACAAAGUUGUCAUAACCAGCAAUCGCACACACUGCAGCAAGUGGAACAUACCAAAGAAUUGCAGGAACUGAAUCAGAAAUUGUCAUCAACAUAUAUUGGAUGUAGGAAAGACCUGGAAGACUUGCAGGAAGAGAUUUCUAUCUUGCAAAAAGAAAGGGAUGAAUUGACGCAGGUGCUUCAAAAUGUACAGAAUCAAAACGCAGAAAAGUACGUUUCCUGUAGCAUGUGGUACUCUUAUUCAAAUUUAGAAAUGCCUGUUGUUAUUCAGUUCAUUUUUCCUAAUAUCCGUGUUUGCGUUGUUUAUAAAAUAAAUACUUCACUUUUAUGAAUUCUUCACGUAGAGUGUAUAAAAUGGAAACCAAGGAUCGUACACACAGUUCAGAGUGAGUUAUUUCUUUAACUCAACUGCUCUUAAUUUUGUGUAUAUUAUAAAUAGUUGUACAGAUUAUUGUUUAAUAUAUUAUUGAAUCUUUAAUACGACAUCAGAGCAGGGAAGGAAGCAACUUCAGGAACUGGAACAGAAGAUUUUUGAGUUGGACAACAAAAUAACUGAGAAGCAGAAAAUAAUAAAGAUGAUGGAGAGAUGUGAUAAGGAGAUAAGUCAACUGGAAAGUGAGAUUCACAUGUGUUUAAAAAGAAUCCACUGCUGCAGAAUUCAAAUUGGGCAGAUCUACAUCUGUCAUGAAAACAAUGUGUUUAUGGAUUACAUGGGGGGGAUGUCGAAGAUUACAUUACAAAUCAUGAUUUAUGCUCACAUGUAUAUUUCUGUUCCCGAGGCGAACCUCAGCUACUGGGCUGAUCACAGGUGGCAGAUAGUGAGGACCCUGAGACAUGAGGAUUAGCUGUGAAAAAGGGGAGAACCAAAUAAGCAGUCGCGGACCGAGGCGCAAGACCGGAGAGCGUGGGAGUGUAGACAGUGGCAGGGCUACGGCCAUCAAAUACCACAUGAGCUCAGUGAAGGUCCUGUGACCUGGCGAGUAAGCACCGCCAGUAAAUAAGUGCUGUCACCCCACUGCCUUGUGGGUAGGGGAGGGAUCCCCAAAGGCUAAGGGAAGGAAAACCCUGAUAGAAAACCAAGGGGUACAGAUGGCUCCAUAGGUGUAGAGAAACCAACCCUUCUAAGGGAAUGAACCCUGAAUAAAAACUUCUGGUCCUCCAGGAAGAUGGGGGUUGGACAUCAGGUUAACAACCAAAUUCUGGAAAAA